AAGAGCCAGGAAAGCGACCGUCUGCUGCUCGUGGCCAGCGCCAACCUGAGAGAGUUUGAGGUAUUGCAUCGGAACUGAGUAAAUUGAGAAAUACAGCAAACAUUUCAAAAGAAGGCUGAUAAAAUUACCAGGCAGACCAGUGAAUCACUCUCGAUACAUAGAGCAAUUCCUGAAGGUCUUCCCAGAUGUUGUGAAAACAGAGACACCUCCCCCACCCCGUGCCUGUCAGCAAGGGAGAGCAGGAGGGGCAUGGAUGUGGGACACCAAGGAGCCAGAACUAAAGAGCUGGCCACAUCUGUAAACAGGAGCGCUGUGAGCAUGCUGGCAGAUGUGGCAGGGGGUUGAGCUGGAAGCUGCUCGACACAUCGACUGGCCUGUCCAGGGUCAAUGCCACAUUGCGAGAGACAAACAAGCUCCUGCAUGACUCGAACCUGACCACUCUGUUAGUGGAAAGAAAAAAGAUGUGGAAACACCAAGCCAACCUUCUAUUUGAUCAGUUGAAAUCUUCGAAGAUUUUAGAAGAGAAUCUGAACAGAAACCUUUCCGAAAUUAAACUGCUGAUCAGCCAGGCCCGGAAACAAGCAGCUUCUAAAUCUCCUGUCGUGAAGGUAACCAUUUCAGAGACUGCAUGGGAGAAGCUUUCUUAAAUGGAAAAUCCAUCAGCCUGUGGAACCACCUAGAAAGGGAGGGUAAAUGUCACGGCUGCUUUGGAAGGUGAGAUGUCACCACAAUUUUACACGUGAUGUGUCAUUCUGUUAACAUCUGAGGGCUGUGGAAAAAACUUAAUGCACAUCAGAGGGUUUGUGCUAUUGUUUAUUU
This is a long non-coding RNA of Nycticebus coucang (slow loris), 819 nucleotides long. RefSeq lists it as uncharacterized. The record is from RefSeq and is a predicted model, not a curated record. NCBI's taxonomy places the organism in Eukaryota, Metazoa, Chordata, Mammalia, Primates, Lorisidae. The transcript has 6 exons.